This is a long non-coding RNA of Oxyura jamaicensis (ruddy duck), 405 nucleotides long. RefSeq lists it as uncharacterized. NCBI's taxonomy places the organism in Eukaryota, Metazoa, Chordata, Aves, Anseriformes, Anatidae. The record is from RefSeq and is a predicted model, not a curated record. The transcript is spliced from 2 exons.
GCCCCUGCCCCAGGGUGCUGCUCGGGGUCCACGAUGGGAAGGGGAAGCGUCCGGCCACCACGCGCGCCUCGUCGGGGAGUUCUGCAAGGAGCUUGGCAGCUAGGGGAGGCUUCUGGGGAGAGACAGACAGCCGAGGGCGGGAAAUGUGCCUGGGUGGAGCGGCCCUGCCUGGGGACCUGGUCCCACAUGAAUUCCUCGGGGCAGUGCCACCGGGGGGACAAGGGGGAGCUUCUCAGCAGGGCUGGUGGGUCCCCAAAAGCAGCAGCAUCUGAAGGCACUUCCAAAACGCAGGGCUGAGACUGGCCCCGUGCAUAGCUGGGGCCAGGACCAAAUGGAAAUUUUAUUCCAACCUGAGUGACUCCGUGAUUUUCCUUACCUCCAGUCUCUUACUUUUGGCUUUUUUUU